Non-coding RNA from Callithrix jacchus (white-tufted-ear marmoset), 24739 nucleotides. The record is from RefSeq and is a predicted model, not a curated record. Lineage: Eukaryota; Metazoa; Chordata; Mammalia; Primates; Cebidae.
UCCUCCUUUUCGGGAAGUAUCGUUUUGCUGAUGCUCUCAGAUUUGCUAUUCAUAAAGGACUUUGAUAUUUUCUUUGUACUUUCUUAAUUUUAAUUGUUUUUCCUUUUGACUGCAGAAUUUAUGUGACCUACUUGCUGAAAAAAUGGGGCAAUUUUAAAAAAUCUUCUAUAUUUUGUUCCUAAUUUUUCUUUGUUGCAUUGUUUACUGUCUCAGAGGAGGAGAAAGAGGGAAAGGCUACCUACCAAUGUGCUCGUAACAAAGAUGUAUAUCCAGUGUUGGUAAUCAGAAGCCUAAUGCAACUUUGAUUCUCAUUUUAUUCAAAAGCUGUCUCUCCAGGCUCCUCGAGGCUGUUUCAAUGUUUUCAUCUGAUAUACUAGAAUUUGAUGAAAAUGCCUGUUGAGUUUUUUUUUUUGAGUUGGGGUCUUGCUCUGUCACUCAGGCUGGAGUGCAGUGGCAUGAUCACAGUUCACUGCAACCUCGACCUCCUGGGCUCAAGCAAUCCUUCUACCUCUGCCUCCCUGUAGCUGGGACUACAGGCUCACACUGGCACAUCUGACUAACAUUUUAUUUUUUGGUAGAGAUGGAGUCUUGCUACAUUGCCCAUCCUGGUUGUGCAUCUUUUUCAUUAAUUGUGCUGAGUACAUAAUGGACCCUUUCAAACUGAAUACCUGUAUUCUUCAAUUCAGAGAAAUUUUAUUUUUAUGUAGUUUCUACAUGAUUUUCUCCUCCCUAGUUUUCAUCUUUGAAUUUCAGUUAUUCUGGGAAUUCAGUUAUGGAUUGAAUACAUGUCUUAUCUUUUCUCUACCAUGAAAAUCCAUGCAUAUUUCUUUUUUCAGUUUCUGGGAAAUUUCCUUCAACGUAUAAAUUCCAGCCUUUUAAAAUUGUAGCCAUUAAAUUCGAAUUUCUGUCUGGGUAUGGUGGCUCACACCUGUAAUCUCAACACUUCGGGAGGCUGAGGUGGGUGCAUCAGUUGAGGUCCGAAGUUCAAUACCAGCCUGGCCAACAUAGUAAAACCCUGUCUCUACUUAAAAAAAAAAUAGCCAGGGGUGGUGGUACAUGCCUGUAAUCUCAGCUACUCAGGAGGCUGAAGUGGGAGAAUUGCUUGAACCUCCAGGAGGUGGAGGUUGCAGUGAGCCAAGAUCUCAAUACUGUACUCCAGCUCCAGCUUGCGGUCAACAUUGAGACUCCUAUGUUAAAAAAAAAAAGAAAAUUCUAGCUCUCUAGUCUGCAGCCUGUGUCUAUGGUCAGGCCCUUUGCGUCCAGCUGCCAGGGACUGAGCUCGGGUGUAUGGGGCCACAGAAACCGGCUCCGUGGCCCCAAUAACGGGCCACCCCCGCAGCACCCCAGCCUGGCGUGAGGGUCUCCCUUGAUAUGAGAAUGGCUACCUCUCGAUAUGAGCAGGUGGCUGAAAUUGAUGUCGGUGCCUAUGGGACAAUGUACAAGACCUGUGAUCGCCACAGUGGCCACUUUGUGGCCCUCAGGAGUGUGAGAGUCCCCAAUGGAGGAGCUGGAGGAGGCCUUCCCAUCAGCACAGUUCGUGAGGUGGCCUUACUGAGGCGACUGGAGGCUUUUGAACAUCCCAACGUUGUCCGGCUGAUGGAUGUCUGUGCCACAUCCUGAACUGACCAAGAGAUCAAGGUAACCCUGGUGUUUGAGCAUGUGAACCAAGAUCUAAGGACAUAUCUGGACAAGGCACCCUCACUUGGCUUGCCAGCCGAGACCGUCAAGGAUCUGAUGCGACAGUUUCUAAGAGGCGUAGAUUUUUUUCAUGCCAAUUGCAUCGGUCACCGAGAUCUGAAGCCAGCGAACAUUCUGGUGACAAGUGGUAGAACAGUCAAGCUGGCUGGCUUUGGCCUGGCCAGAAUCUACAGCUACCAGAUGGCACUUAUACCCAUGGUUGUUACACUCUGGUACCGAGCUCCCGAAGUUCUUCUGCAGUCCACAUAUGCAACACCUGUGGACAUGUGGCUUGUUGGCUGUAUCUUUGCUGAGAGGUUUCGUUGAAAGCCUCUCUUCUGCAGAAACUCUGAAGCUGACCAGUUGGGCAAAAUCUCUGACCUGAUUGGACUGCCUCCAGAGGAUGACUGGCCUCGAGAUGUAUCUCUGCCCCGUGGAGCCUUUCACCCCAGAGGGCCCCACCCAGUGCAGUCAGUGGUACCUAAGAUGGAGGAGUUGGGAGCACAUCUGCUGCUGGAAAUGCUGACUUUUAACCCACACAAGCGAAUCUCUGCCUUUCGAGGUCUGCAGCACUCUUAUCUACAUAAGGAGGAAGGUAAUCUGGAGUGAGCAAUGAAUUGGCUGCCAUGGAAGGAAGAAAAGCUGCUGUUUCUCUUCUGGACACUGAGACGGCACUGCCUUCGUCUCUGAGCCUGUGGAGGCUCCACCUCCACCUUUCUACAGAGAUUACUUUGCUGCCUUAAUGACAUUCCCCUCCUACCUCUCCUUCUGAGGCCUCUCCUUCUGCCCCCUAUUUCUCAACACUAAGGGGUAUGUUCCCUUGUGUCCCUUUCUCUACCUUUAUAUUGGGGGUCUUUUUUAAUACAGGAAAAACAAAAUAAAGAAAAAAAAUUCUAACUUCAAAGAGCUGUUUCUUGUUUUCUGAUUGUAUCAUUUAAUACUAUGCUUAUCUCUGGAAGCCUUUGAUUUAUCCUCUGAGAAUAAUAAUUUUAUUAAAAACUAUUAUUUUCUGGGCAUUAUUUGUUUCCCUUAAGAUCUCUUUCUCUUGUUAUCUGAAAUUUGCUUUCCUCUCUGACGCCUUUCUCUUUUAUCCUUGGAUGUUCUUUCAUAUUUAACCUGUUACUGGGUAGCUUCACUGGGAGUCACUGGGUAGAAGGGCAUUUGUUUUGUUGGGAUAGCUACAUAUCAGUCUGAUACUGUGUCUUAUAGUUUAUGCUAAGUGUUUCUCCACAAGUUUCCUUGGUUCUUCUGGCUGAUAAUGUUUGCACAGAAGACAGACAAAAGGGGGCUGGAACUGUUAAAAAUAGACUUAUAAUGAAUUCUGUCACUCAUGCUCACAACUGCACAUGAUGUCCUGGGCCAUGGGUGAAUCCUUUGAACUUAAUGCAGAGAAUGUCUUGUGAGUAGAAAUGUGGAGAUGUGCGUAUGCAGUUUUUCAACCUUUUUGUUAAGUGGCACCUUACCUUCAUCAUUCAGUGCAUGUGGUGUCAUAGUUCUGAGUCCUUCCUGGGUUCCCUGGGGCAGACUGGUUUCUUGCCUUUGCCCUCUGAAAUAAAUUAACUACUUCUCCACCUACUUUUGUCUCCCAAACUUCUUCAACUGUCUAAUGGAGAUAAUACUACAUAAUACCUUACAAAGCUGUUGUGUAGAUUAAAUGAAUUUAUAUAUGUAAUAUGCAUAGCACAGCACCUAGCAUGGAGUAAUCAUUCUAUAAAUGGUAGUUAUUAGUAUUAUACAAUUUCUCAAUAUCCCAGACAGUCCUGGUCAUAUUAAUUACCUGGGUAGUGAUGCCAAUAAAAUCUCUACUGCUGUUUUUGUGGAAUUACUAAUUUAUUUGUAUUCAUUUUAGCAAAAUAAAAAAUUGAGAGAAAUGAAAUAAAUUCAUGCUUUAAUCCUGCCAUUACAGUAUCUUGUUAGAAGUUUGUGAUAAAUUAUAACGUCUGAUAGUUAAUCAUUAUUCAAUAUUAUUUUUUAAGAAUAUUUUGACUGUUUUCAUACCUCAGUCCAGAAGAGUUUUACAGUCAUUUUGACUGGUUUUCUCUAAUCUCCUUCACCCUUAAAAUACUCCUAAGAUUUUGAUUACAAUUAUACUUAAGUAAUUUUCAAAUCUGGGGAGAAGUUACAUAUUUAUAAAACUUAUUUUUUCAAUCCAAGAACAAGGUCAGCUUAACAUACACUUUUUCUUCCUCCUCAGUAAAUAUUUGCAUUUUUUUCAUGUAGACCCUACAUACUAAUUUAAUUUCUAUGUAUUUUAUAUGUUCACAUUUUACAUGUUGCUACUAUAAAUGGGACAUUAUUUUUAUUUUUGACUAUUACUUUAUAGAAAAAAAUAUAUUUAUGUAUUUCUUUUUAAAUGUCCAAGUUACUUUUUUGAUUCAAGUAGGUUUUUUGGGUAGGGGAAAAAGUUUCUUUUUCAAAUAAUGAUCAUUUUACCUUCUCUUUCUAAUAUUUAUGACUAGUAUUCUUUUUCUUAACUCAUAGCAUUGCUUAUUACUUCAAAAAUAGUAGACUUCAGAAGUAGUGGUUAUAAAUAUGUUUAUUUUGUCCUUCACUUGAAUAGGAAUGCCUUUAAGGUUGUUAUGUCUGACACUUGUUGACUGCAUAUAAGACAUUCUUUAAACAAGUUUCCCACUGACUUGUGUUUUGCUUUUGCUGCUUUAAGCUAGAAUGUCCCAGGAAGUACACACACACAUUUCUCUCACACAUACAAGUCUCAUAAUACACUCAUAAAAAGAAGGCAGUUAUUUGAGAUUCUAAUAUCUGGGAACUUUGUGGUAGACAAUCAAGCUCUAUCCUCAGAGGAACAAAAAAAUGGACACUUGGAUUUAAAAGUGGCAGGAUCCAGAGGCGAAAAGAAGAGGAAAGGAAACAAAAAAUUCUGUAUCUUUGGAAUUAUGUGGCACAAAUUCCUGGUACCAUGUUCAGGUUCAUUUGCUUUCUACAUGAUUCCAUUUUAUGAUCACACUAGUGUGGAAACUGUACCCCAUGAUUUAAAAAAAUUUACUUGGCAUUAUUUUAUUCUAUUAGUAUGAAUUAAGCUGAACUUGUGAACAGUGAUUGCUGUAUCAUAGAUUCAAAAGUUAUUGAAUAGGUGGGACUGUUUGCUCCCAUACCAAACAGGCCUGACUAUUACUUCUGUUUCAAAUAUUUGUUUUCUACCCCGCAUUUUCCAGCUGUUAUCUUUUCCUGCAACUUUGAGUAUACUUGCUUCCAGUAAACCUCCCCUAUCUACUAAUCUGCUGCUUCUGGUCAUCUCAGACUCAGUUAUGCGAUAAACCUGUUUCAUGUCACUAAAUCUAAAGAAUAAAUAGGGUAUGUUAUAGGAUUUGAGUAUAACACCCAUGAGUAGUUCAGAGUAAUUUUUAUGUACUGAUAAAAUUAUUUUGGCUCACAGCUGGCUAAUAAAAAUUUAUUAUUUUAACUAAUUAAUUAAUUUUGAAUGGGUAAUACAUGCACAUAGUGAAGUAUUUUAAAAAUGUAGACCAGGCAUUGUGGCUGAUGCUUGCAAUCCCAGAACUUUGGGAGAUGGAGGCAGGAGGAUCUCUUGAGGCCAGGAAUGCCAGAUCAGCCUGGGCAACAUAGCAAGACCCUGUCUUGACGAAAUCUUUUUUUUUUUUUUGAUUAGGUGGGUUUGGUAGCACGUGCCUAAUAGCCCCAGCUACUCAGGAAGCUGAGGUGGGAGGAUCACUUGAGCCUAGGAGUUUGGGGUUACAGUGACCUCUGAUGGCACCACUGCAUUCCAGCCUGGGUAGCAGAGUGAGACCCUGUCUUUAAAAAUAAAAAAUCCAAAUGGUUACACAUUGAAAAACGGUUUGUCCCUCAUCACUACCCCAGACACUCACCAGAGAAAACCACUCCUAUCACUUUUCUAUGUAUAUUUCCAGAUUGUAUAUAUUAUAUAUAUAACUAUAUACAUAAAUUUUUCACAAAUGGUAAGAUUUUAUAUACACUUCUGAACUUUGCUUCUUUUUGGUAAGAAUGUAUCUUAAAGGUGAGUGCAUAUGUCUAUUUAAAGCUGCUUUAUUUACAAAUAUUUUCUUGAAAUACACAUACAAGAAAUAUGAGUUGUAAGUGUACAAUAUGAUAAUUUUCCAGUGAGCUUGGUCUGAAACAAUUUUUAAAGAGAAGAAUAUAGUGGGAGUAAUCAAUCUACCCAAUUUCAAGACAUCAUAUAGCUACAGUACUCAAGACUGUGUGGUAUUGUGGGGAUAUAGACAUAGAGAUCAGUUAAACACAAUACAAAACCCCGAAAUAGACCCAUACAAGUAUGUCCACCUGAUUUUUUUUCUUUUUUUUUUAUUGCAUUUUAGGUUUUGGGGUACAUAUGAAGAACAUGCAAGAUUGUUGCAUAGGUCCACACAUGGCAGUGUGAUUUGCUGCCUUCCUCCCCAUCACCUAUAUCUGGCAUUUCUCCCCAUGCUAUCUCUCCCCAACUCCCCACCCACCGCUGUCCCUCCCCUGUUUCCCCGCCAACAGACCCUGGUUUGUGAUGCUCCCCUCCCUGUGUCCAUGUGUUAUCGUUGUUCAACACCAACCUAUGAGUGAGAACAUGCGUUGUUUGAUUUUCUGUUCUUGUGUCAGUUUGCAGAGAAUGAUGGUUUCCAGGUUCAUCCAUGUCCCUACAAAGGACGCAAACUUAUCAUUUUUGAUGGCUGCAUAAUAUUCCAUGGUGUAUAUGUGCCACAUUUUCCCUGUCCAGUCUAUCGUUGAUGGGCAUUUGGGUUGGUUCCAGGUCUUUGCUAUUGUAAACAGUGCUGCAAUGAACAUUUGCGUGCAUUUGUCCUUAUAGUAGAAAGAUUUAUAAUCCUUUGGAUAUAUACCCAUGGGAUUGCUAGGUCAAAUGGAAUUUCUAGGUCCUUGAGGAAUCGCCACACUGUCUUCCACAAUGGUUGAACUACUUUACAUUCCCACCAACAGUGUAAAAGUGUUCCUAUUUCUCUACAUCUUCUCCAGCAUCUGUUGUCUCCAGAUUUUUACACUUGAUCUUAGCCAAAAGGCCGAGAGGCGAUGUCUCCAGAUUUUUUAGUAAUUGCCAUUCUAACUGGCAUGAGAUGGUAUCUCAAUGUAGUUUUGAUUUGCAUUUCUCUGAUGACCAGUGAUGAUGAGCAUUUUUUCAUAUAUUUGUUGGCCUCAUGUAUGUCUUCUUUUGUAAAGCGUCUGUUCGUAUCCUUCACCCACUUUUGAAUGGGCUGGUUUUUUUCUUGUAAAUCUGUUUUAGUUCUUUGUAGAUUCUGGAUAUCAGCCCUUUGUCAGAUGGGUAGACCGAAAAAUUUUUUCCAUUCUGUUGGUUGCCGAUUAACUCUAAUGACUGUUUCUUUUGCCGUACAGAAGCUGUGGGGUUUGAUUAGGUCUCGUUUGUCUAUUUUGGCUUUUGUUGCCAAUGCUUUUGGUGUUUUGGUCAUGAAGUCCUUGCCUACCCCUACAUCCUGAAUGGUUUUGCCUAGAUUUUCUUCUAGAGUUUUUAUGGUGUUAGGUCUUAUGUUUAAGUCUUUAAUCCAUCUGGAGUUAAUUUUACUGUAAGGUAUCAGGAAGGGGUCCAGUUUCUGCUUUCUGCACAUGGCUAGCCAGUUUUCCCAACCCCAAUUAUCAAACAGGGAAUCCUUUCCCCAUUGCUUGUUUUUGUCAGGUUUGUCAAAGAUCAGAUGGUUGUAGAUGUGUUGUGUUGCCUCUGAGGCCUCUGUUCUGCUCCAUUGGUCUAUAUCUCUGUUUUGGUACCAGUACCAUGCUGUUUUGAUUACUGUAGCCUUAUAGUAUAGUUUGAAGUCUGGUAGUGUGAUGCCUCCUGCUUUGUUCUUUUUGCUUAGAAUUGACUUGGCUAUGUAGGCUCUCUUUUGGUUCUAUAUGAAGUUUAAGGUGUUUUUUUUUUUUCCCAUUCUGUGAAGAAGAUCAUCAGUAGCUUGAUGGGGAUAGCGUUGAAUAUGUAAAUUACUUUGGGCCAUAAAAUAGUAUGGCCAUUUUCAUGAUAUUGAUUCUUCCUAACCGUGAACAUGGAAUGUUUCUCCAUCUGUUUGUGUCCUCUCUUAUUUCAUUGAGCAGUGGUUUGUAGUUUAAGGACCUUGAAGAGGUCCUUUACGUGCCUUGUUAGUUGUAUUCCUAGGUAUUUUAUUCUCUUUGUAGCAAUUGUGAAUGGCAGUUCGUUCUUGAUUUGACUCUCUUUAAGUCUGUUAUUGGUAUAGAGGAAUGCUUGUGAUUUUUGCACAUUGAUUUUGUAUCCUGAGACUUUGCUGAAGUUGCUUAUCAGUUUCAGGAGAUUUUGGGCUGAUACGAUGGGGUCUUCUAGAUAUACAAUCAUGUCGUCUGCAAAUAGAGACAAUUUGGCUUCCUCCUUUCCUACCUGAAUACCCUUUAUUUCUUUUUCUUGCCUGAUUGCUCUGGCUGGAACUUCCAAUACUAUAUUGAAUAGGAGUGGUAAGAGAGGGCAUCCUUGUCUAGUGCCAGAUUUCAAAGGGAAUGCUUCCAGUUUUUGCCCAUUCAGUAUGAUAUUGGCUGUUGGUUUGUCAUAAAUAGCUUUUAUUAUUUUGAGAUACGUUCCAUCAAUACUGAGUUUAUUGAGGGUUUUUAGCAAAAAGGGCUGUUGAAUUUUGUCAAAGGCCUUCUCUGCAUCAAUGGAGAUCACCAUGUGGUUUUUGUCUUUGGUUCUGUUUAUGUGGUGAAUUACGUUUAUAGACUUGUGUAUGUUGAACCAGCCUUGCAUCCCUGGGGUGAAUCCUACUUGAUCAUGAUGGAUAAGCUUUUUGAUGUGCUGUUGCAAUCAACUUGCCAGUAUUUUAUAGAAGAUUUUUGCAUCUAUGUUCAUCAUGGAUAUUGGCCUGAAGUUUUCUUUUCUUGUUGAGUCUCUGCCAGGUUUUGGUAUUAGGAUGAUGUUGGUCUCACAAAAUGAUUUGGGAAGGAUUCCCUCUUUUUGAAUUAUUUGGAAUAGUUUCAGAAGGAAUGGUACCAGCUCCUCUUUGUGUGUCUGGUAGAAUUCGGCUGUAAACCCAUGUGGACCUGGGCUUUUUUUGUGUGAUAGGCUCUUAAUUGCUGCCUCGACUUCAGACCUUGUUAUUGGUCUAUUCAUAGUUUUGGCUUCCUCCUGGUUUAGGCUUGGGAGGACACAAGUGUCCAGGAAUUUAUCCAUUUCUUUCAGGUUUACUAGUUUAUGUGCAUAAAGUUGUUUGUAAUAUUCUCUGAUGAUGGUUUGAAUUUCUGUGGAAUCUGUGGUGAUUUCCCCUUUAUCGUUUUUUAUCACAUCUAUUUGGUUAUUCUCUCUUUUUCUUUUUUAUCAAUCUGGCUAGUGGUCUAUUUUGUUGAUCUUUUCAAAUAACCAGCUCUUGGAUUUAUUGAUUUUUUUGAAGGGUUUUUCGUGUCUCUAUCUCCUUCAGUUCUGCUCUGAUCUUAGUUAUUUCUUGUCUUCUGCUAGGUUUUGUGUUUUAUUUGAUCUUGCUCUCUAGCCCUUUCAAUUUUGACAAUAGGGUGUCAAUUUUGGAUCUCUCCACUCUUCUCAUGUGGGCACUUAUUGCUAUAUAUUUUCUUUUAGAGACUGCUUUAAAUGUGUCCCAGAGAUUCUGGUAUGUUGUGUCUUCGUUCUCGUUGGUUUCGAAGCACUUCUUUAUUUCUGCCUUCAUUUCAUUGUUUAUCCAGUCACCAUUCAAGAGCCACUUGUUCAGUUUCCAUGAAGCUGUGUGGUUCUGAGUUAGUUUCUGAAUUCUGAGUUCUAACUUGAUUGCACUAUGGUCUGAGAGACUGUUUGUUAUGAUUUCAGUUGUUUUGCAUUUGCUGAGGAGUGCUUUACUUCCAAUUAUGUGGUCAAUUUUUGAGUAGGUGUGAUGUGGUGCUGAGAAGAAUGUAUAUUCUGUGGAUUUGGGGUGGAGAGUUCUGUAAAUGUCUAUCAGGUUUGCUUGUUCGAGGUCUGAGUUCAAGCCCUGGAUAUCCUUGUUAAUUUUCUAUCUGGUUGAUCUGUCUAAUAUUGACAGUGGAGUGUUAAAGUCUCCCACUAUUAUUGUGUGGGAGUCUAAGUCUCUUUGUAAGUCAUUAAGAACUUGCCUUAUAUAUCUGGGUGCUCCUGUAUUGGGUCCAUAUAUAUUUAGGAUCGUUAGCUCUUCUUGUUGUAUUGAUCCUUUUACCAUUAUGUAAUGUCCUUCUUUGUCUCUUUUGAUCUUUGUUGCUUUAAAGUCUAUUUUAUCAGAGAUGAGAAUUGCAACUCCUGCUUUUUUUUUUUUUUUUUUUUCUCUCCAGUUGCUUGGUAAAUCUUCUUCCAUCCCUUUAUUUUGAGCCUUUGUGUAUCCUUGCAUGUGAGAUGGGUUUCCUGGAUACAGCACACCGAUGGAUUUUGGCUUUUUAUCCAAUUUGCCAGCCUGUGUCUUUUGAUUGGUGCAUUUAGCCCAUUUACAUUUAGGGUUAAUAUUGUUAUGUGUGAAUUUGAUACUGCCAUUUUGAUGCUAGCUUGGUGUUUUGCCCGUUAGUUGAUGCAGGUUCUUCAUUUUGUUGAUGCUCUUUAGCAUGUGGUAUGUUUUUGGAAUGGCUGGUACUGGUUGUUCCUUUCUAUGUAUAGUGCCUCUUUCAGGAGCUCUUGUAAAGCAGGCCUGGUGGUGACAAAAUCUCUGAGUGCUUGCUUGUUUGCAAAGGAUUUUAUUUUUCCUUCACUUAUGAAGCUCAGUUUGGCUGGAUAUGAAAUUCUGGGUUGAACCUGACCUUUCUCUCUGGCUGCCCUUAGCAUUUUCUCCUUUAUUUCAACCCUGGUGAAUCUGACGAUUAUGUUCCUUGGGGUUGCUCUUUUUGUGGAAUAUCUUUGUGGUGUUCUCUGUAUUUCCUGGACUUGAAUAUUGGCCUGCCUUGCUAGGUUGGGGAAAUUUUCCUGGAUAAUAUCCUGAAGGUAUUUUCCAGCUUGGAUUCAUUCUCUUCAUCACAUUCAGGUACACCUAUCAAAUGUAGAUUAGGUCUCUUCACAUAGUCCCACAUUUCCUGGAGACUUUGUUCAUUCCUUUUUGCACUUUUUUUCUCUAAUCUUGGCUUCUUGUUUUAUUUCAUUGAGUUGAUCUUCAACUUCUGAUAUCCUUUUUUCUGCUUGGUCGAUUUGGCUGUUGAAACUUGUGCAAGCUUCGCAAAGUUCUCAUGUUGUGUUUUUCAGCUCCUUCAAUUCACUCAUAUUCCUUUCUAAGUUGUCCAUUCUUGUUAUCAUUUCCUCAAAUCUUUUUUCAAGGUUCUUAGUUUCUUUGCAUUGAGUUAGAACGUGUUCUUCUAGCUCACGGAAGUUUCUCAUUACCCACCUUCUGAAGUCUGAUUCUGUCAUUUCAUCACACUCAUUCUCCGUCCAGCUUUGUUCCCUUACUGAUGAGGAGUUUUGGUCCUUUGUAGGAGGCGAGGUGUUCUGAUUUUGGGUGUUUUCCUCCUUUUUGCACUGGUUUCUUCCCAUCUUUGUGGAUUUAUCCACCUGUCUUCUGAGUGGUUGCUGAUUUUCUGAUUGGGUCUCUGAGUGGACGUCCAGAUUGUUGAUGAUGAAGUAUUUCUGUUUCUUAGUUUUCCUUCUAACAGUCUGGCCCCACUGCUGUAGGACUGCUGCGGUCCACUCUAGGCCCUGCUUGCCUGGGGAACUCCUAUAGCAGCUGUGGAACCGUGAGGGUUGCUACCAGAUUCUUCUUCUGCUAUCUUUCUCCCUGAAUGAUGCCUGCUGAAUGUCGGUCUGAUCAGUCCUUUGUGAGGUGACUCUUUGGAUAUACGGGGGUCAGGGAGCUCUUUGAGGAGACAGUCUGUACUUUAUAGGAGCUCUAGUGCUGAGCUGUGAGCUCUGAUGUUCAUUCAGGGCUAUUAGGCAGGUACGUUUAAGUCUGCUGCAGCAGAACUCAUAAAGCCCCCUUUUUUUUCCCUCAGGUGCUCUGUCCCGGGGAGUUAGGGCUUUAUUUAUGAGUAUCUGUUGCACUUUCCUGCCCAGCAAGGAGGCAGUCUAGUCACUGCCUGUCUGUAGUGGCUAUCAUGAGCUGCUGUGGGCUCCACCCUGUUGCCAUGGGCUCCACCCUGUUGCUGUGGGCUCUGCUCCACUGCCAUGGGCUCCACCCUGCUGCAGUGUGUAAUUCCCUGUAGUCCUGUUUAUAUGGGUGUGGUUAGAACUGCAGUGGCGAUGGUGGCCCACCUCUGUAGUGGCGGACUCUCUCUGUUAUGGUGGGUUGCCUCGGCAAUGGCAGGCUGCGUCAGCAAUGGCAGAGUACCUCCGUAGGGGUCGCGUGCCUUGGUAGUGGCGGACGCCCCUCCCCCACCGAGCUGUUCUGUCCUGGGUUCAGCUGUGCUUGCCGUGAAACUCUCAACCCCCAAGCGUUUCCAAUUGCUGUUUUGUUUGUUUUUGUGGGGGGUGGGACCCGCCGAGCCUGAUCACCUGGCUCCCUGCCUCAGAGCCUUUUUUUUUUUUUUUAAGUUGAAUGGUUGACUCUCUCCCAGGUGUUCCAGUUGCCUGCUGCAAGGGUGCCAGGAUCUGUGUGAUUUCCCAUGCAGCGACUCACUGCGCCAGCUCAAACCACGUUGCUGCCCGAGAAUCUCCUGGCCUGGCUUUCUGUUUAAGUCCCGUUUAAUCAGAUGAAUGUGCUAAUCUGCCUUCCGAAAUCUCCAAUUGCCAGUUUAACAGGGCAACCAAACCAGUGUAUUUUGUACAGAGUGUCGCUGCGCUGCAGUCUCGGCCCAAACAGCUGUGCCGGCCCAAACAGCCGCGCCGGCCCAAACUGCUGCGCUGGUGGCCCGUGGGGCUCUUACACCUGGGAAUCUCCUGGUCUGUGGGCAAUAAAGAUCCAUAUGGAAAUGUGGCGUCCACUCACCCUCUGCAGAUUCACUGGGAGCUGCAAUCCUGAGUUGGUCCUACAGCUCCAUCUUCCCCCCAAAGUUUGGCUUCAUUCUUUUUUAAGGCUCAAUAAUACUUUAUUGUGUAUGAACAUACAACAUUUUAUUUACCUAUUCAUCAGUUAAUCGACAUUUGAGUUGUUUCCACCUACUGGCAAUUAUGAAUAAUGCUGUAAUAAACAUUCACAGACCAAUUUUUUUUUGUUUUUUUUUUUUUGAGAUGGAGUUUCGCUCGUUACCCAGGCUGGAGUACAAUCAUGCAAUCUUGGCUCACUGCAACCUCCCCUUCCUGGGUUCAGGCAAUUCUCCUGCCUCAGCCUCCUGAGUAGCUGGGAUUACAGGCACGCGCCACCACGCCCAGCUAAUUUUCUUUUUUUUUUUGGUUGAGACAGGGUUUCACCAUAUUGACCAGGAUGGUCUCGAUCUCUUGACCUUGUGAUUCACCCACCUUGGCCUCCCAAAGUGCUGGGAUUACAGGCUUGAGCCACCGCAUCCAGCCCACAGACCAAUUUUUGGGUGAACAUGUUGUAUAUAUCUAGAGUGAAUUGCUAGGUCAUAUGGUAACUCUAUGUUUAAUCAGUUGAGGAACUGCCAAACAGCAUUCCACAAUGGCUGUACCCUUUUAUAUUGCCACCAGCAGUGUGUUAGGUUUACUAUUUCUCCACAUUCUUGUUAACUCCAGUGAUUACCUGAUUUUUAAAUUCUAGCUAUCCUUGUGGUUGUGAAGAGGUAUUUCAUAGUGGUUUUGAUUUGCAUUUAUCCAGUGACUAAUGAUAUUGAACAUAUUUCCAUGUGCUUAUUGGCUAUUUGUAUAUCUUCUGUGCAGAAAUAUCUAUUCAGAUAAUUUGCCCAUUUUUAAAUUGGGUUGUCUUUUUAUUAUUGAGUUGUAAGAGUUAUUUAUAUUCUGGAUACAAGUCUCUUUAUAUAAUGUCUCCGUUGUCUUUUUUUUUUAUUGAUGGUAUCCUUUGAAGUACAGAAGUUUUUUUUCUUUGUUUUUUUGUUUUGUUUUUGAGACAGAGACUCACUUUGCCACCCAGGCUGGAGUGCAGUGGCACAAUGAUAGCUCACUUCAGCCUUGACCUCCCCAGGCUCAGGUUAUCAUCUCACCUCAGCUUCCUGAGUAGGUGGGAAUACAAGUAUGCACCACCAUGCCUGGCUAUUUUUUGUAGAGACAAGGUUUCACCAUGUUGCCCAGGCUGGUCUUGAAUCCUACACUCAAGCAAUCUGCCUGCGUUGGCCUCCCAAAGUUUUGGGAUUAGAGGCAUGAGCCACUGUGCCUGGCUAGCACAGAAGUUUUAAAUCUUGAUGAAGUGCAAUUUAUUUAUUCUUUGGUUGCUUGUGCUUUUCGUGUCCUAUCUAAAAAUUAUUUCCCAAAUUCAAUGUCAUGAAGAUGUUUCUAUGUUUUCUCAAAGAGUUUUAUUUUAUAGUUUUCACCCCUUAGAUUUAGGUCCUUGAUCCAUUUUGAGAUAAUUUUUGUAUAUGGUGUGAGCUAAGGUCCAGCUUCAUUCAUUUGCAUGUGGCUGUCCAGCUUUCCCAGCAUCAUUUGUUGAAAAGACUAUUCUUUCCCAUUGGAUGGUCUUGGCAUCCUUGCUAAAAAUGAGUUGAUCAUGGAUGUAUGGAUUUAUAUCUAGACCCUCAGUUGUAUUACAUUGAUAUAUAUGUCUGUUCUUGUGUCAGUACCACUGUUUUGGUUGCCAUUGCUUUGUAGUUAAGUUUUAAAACUGGUGAGUCCUCCAACUUUAUAUUUUACAUUGUCUUGGCCAUUCUGGGUCCCCUUCAGUUCCAUAUAAAUUUUAGAACCAGUUUGUCAAUAUCUAUGAAGAAGUUAUUCUGAUAGGGAUUUGGAUAGGGAUGACACUGAAUUUCUAGAUCAUUGUGCAGAAUAUUGUCAUAUAAUGAUGUUAAAUCCUCUGACACAUGAACAUAAGAUGUUUUUCCAGUUAUUUAGAUCUUUAAUUUCUUUCAACAAUGUUUUGUAGUUUUUCAGAGUAUAAAUUUAGCGUUUUUCUUAAAUUUAUUUUGAUGGUAUUAAAAAUGGAAUUGUUUUCUUAAUUUCACUUCUGGAUUAUUCAUUGUGACUGUAUGGAAAUACAUCUGAUUUUCAUAUAUUAGUCUUUUCUUUUUCCUUUGGACACAGCGUCUCACUCUGUUGCCCAGGCUGGAGUAGAGUGGCACAAUAUUGGGCCAUUGCAACCUCAGCCUCCAGGGUUCAAGCAAUUCUCCUGCCUCAGCCUCCCGAGUAGCUGGGUUACAGGGACAUGCCACCGCACCUGCCUAAUUUUUGUAUUUUUAGUAGAGAUGGGAUUUCACCAUGAGUUAAAGGCUGGUCUUGAACUCCUGACCUCAAGUGAUCCACCUGCCUCAGCCUCCCAAAGUGCUGCUAUUACAGGCGUGAGUCACUACACCCUGCCAAUUUUCAUAAAUUAGUCUUAUAUCCUGCAGCCUUGUGAAGCUUGUUUUUAGGUCUUAUAUGAAUAGUUUUACUUUUAAAUAUGGUUUCCUUUCAUAUCUUUUCUUUUUUUUUUUUUUGAGAUGGAGUCUCAUUCUUUUUGCCCAGGCUGGAGAGCAAUGGUAUGAUCUCGGCUCACUGCAACCUCAGCCUCCCAGGUUCAAGGGAUUCUCUUGUUUCAGCCUCACAAGUAGCUGGGAUUACAGGCACCCACCACCACACCUGGCUAAUUCUUUUUGUAUUUUUAGUAGAGACAGGUUUUCACCAUUUUGGCCGGGUUGCUCUCCAACUCCUGACCUCAGGUGAUCCACCCACUUUGGCCUCCCAAAGUGCUGGGAUUUCAGGCAUGAACCACUGUACCCCACUGCCUUUUAUAUCUUCUUAGUGCCUAAUUGCCCUUUCUAGAACCUCCAAUUCAUUGUUGAAUAGAAGCAUCAGGACAUAUUUGCCUUGUUCCUGAUCCUGGGGGAAAGCAUUUAAUUAUUAAAUAUGAUGGUACCUGUGGGUUUUUCAUAGAUGUCCUUUAUCAGGUUGAGGAAGUUUCCUUCUCUUCCUAGUUUAUUGACUGUUUUGAUCAUGAAAUGGUGUUGGAGUUUGCCAAAUACUUUAUCCACAUCUAUUAAGAUGAUCAUGUGAUUUUAAUUUUUAAUUGAUAGAAUGUAUUACAUUAAUUGAUUUCUGGAUGCUAAACCAGCAUUGCAUUCCUGGGAAAAUUCUCACUUGGUCAUGGCUUAUAAUGUUUUGUAUGUUUUGCUGGAUUUGGUUUUGUAGUAUUUUGCUGAGGAUUUUCAUGCCUAUGUUUAGAAGAGAUAUUGGUUUGUAAUUUUCUUUUUUUUGUGGUAUCGUUUUCUAGUUUUGUCAUUACUGUAAUAUUUACUUUAUUUUAUACAUAAAUUAAUAAAUUGCAUAUAUUUAUGGUGUACAGUAUGAUGUUUUGAAAUACAAUGACUUCGUUAAAAUGAAGUCAGUAUUACAUUACUUCCAAAACCAGAAAAGGAUAUCACAAGAAAAGAAAAUUGGGAAAUAUUUCUGCUCUUCUGCUUUUUGGAAAAGCUUGUGAAGAAUUUGUAUUAAUUUUUUGUUACAUGUUUGGUAGAAUUCAUUAGUGAAGCCACCUGGGCCUCAGCUUUUCUUCAUAGGUAAGUUUUUGAUUACUGAUAGAAUCUCUACUUGUGAUAGCUCUAUGAAAGUUUCUAUUUCUUCUUGAGUCAGUUUUUGUAGUUUGUGUCUUUCCAGGAAUUUGUCCAUCUUGUCUAAGUUUUCUAAUUGUUGGUGUAUAGUUGUUCAUUGUAUAUUUUAUAAUCUUUUUUUGUUUCUGCAAGGUUGGUAGAAAUGAAUCCUCUUUCAUGUCUGAUCUAGUAAUUUCAGUCUUCUUUUCUUCUUGGUCAAUGUCAGAUAAAGUUUUGUCUAUUUGUUGAUUUUUUUAAAGAGACAGCUUUUGAUAUCAUUGAUUUUCUCUGUUACUUUCCUAUUCUCUAUUUUAUUAAAUUUUGCUGUAUUCUCUACUAUCCCCUUCCUCCUGUUUGCUUUGGGUUUAGUUUUCUGUUCGCCCACCUCCUGUAGGGUUAUUGGAAUGUUAGGUUAUUGAUUGGAGACCUUCUGUCUUUUAUUCUUGUGUUUAUUUAUUAUUAAGACAGGGUCUCUCUCUGUCGCCCCGGCUAGAGUGCAGUGGUGCAAUCUCGGCUCAGUACAACCUCAACCUCUUGGGCUCAAAUGACCCUCCCACCUCAGCCUCCUGAAUAGCUGGGACUACAGGCAUGCACCAUCAUGCCUGACUAAUUUUUGUGGUUUUUUUUUUGGUAGAGACAGAGUUUUACUAUCUUGCCCAAAGUGGUUUCAAACUCCUGAGCUCAAGCAAUCCAUCUACCUUGACCUCCCAAAGUGCUGGGAUUACAGGCAUAAGCCACCACACCCAGCCUCAAGAUCUUUUGUCUUUUAAAAAAGUUAUUUAUUUUUAAAUUGACAAAGAUUGCAUAUAUUUAUGGUGUACAAUAUGACAUUUGAAAUACAUAUGUUGUAGAAAGGCUAAAUGAAGCUGAUAUGUAUAUUCACAUACUUUUGUCAUGCUUAAUAUAGGCAUGCUUAAUAUAGUUAUAAAUUUUUCUCUAAGUGCUGCUUUAGCUACAUCUCAUCAGUUUUGUUAUGUCUUUAUUUUCAUUCAUCUCAGAAUAUUUUUAUUCUUCUUUUGCUUUCUUCUUUGAGCCAUUUGUUAUUUAGAAGUAUGUUAUUUAAUUUUCACAUAUUUGUGAGAUUCCCAAACUCUUUCCCAGUAUUGAUUUCUAAGUUCAUUCCCUUUUGGUCAAAGAAUCUAUUCUGUAUGAUUUUAUUUUUUAAAAUUUGUUAUUUUGUGGUCUAGCAUUUGAUCUAUCCUGGAGAACGUUCCAUGUGCAUUCGAGGACAAUGUAUAUUGUGUUGCUGGGUGGAGUGUUCUAUAGAUGUCUAUUAGUUUUAGUUAGUUUAUUGUGUUGUUUGUUUUCUGUUUCCUAGCUGAGCUGCUAUCUAUAUUGAGAAUAAGUUCUUAAAGUCUUCAACUAUGAUUGUUGAAUUAUUUGUUUCUCCCUUACUUCCUGUCAGUCCUUGUGUCAUGUAUUUUAGUGCUCUAAGUGCAAAUCAGUGUAUCUUCUGAUGAGUUAAUUGUUUCAUUAUUACAAAAUGACUCUCAGCUAGGUCUGGUGGCUCACACCUGUAAUUCCAUCAUUUUGGGAGGCCAAGGUGGGCAGACUGCUUGAGCUCAGGAAUUUGAGACCAGCCUGGACAACAUGGUGAAACCCCAUAUCUACCAAAAAAUAUUCAAAAAUUAGCUGGGCAUGGUGAUAUGCACUUGUAGUCUCAGUGACUUUGGAGACUGAGGUGGGAGGAUUGAGACUUGAGCCCAGGAGGCACAGGUUGCAGUAAGCCAAGAUUGUGUCACUGCCCUGCAGCAGAGAGACCCUGUUUCAAAAUGAAUAAAAUAAAAUGAAUAAAAUAAAAUAAAAAUUCUCUUCAUUUCUAGUAACUUUUUUGGUUUUAAAGCCUAUUUUAUCUCACAUUAGUAUUGUCACUCCAGCUUUCUUAUGGUUACUGUUUGCAUGAUGUUGCCUUUUUCCGUUCUUUUAGUCUAUUUGUGUCUUUGAAUCUAAGUGAGCAUCCUCUGGACAGCUUGCAGUUGCAAGUGGGAACAAUGUUAAACUUCUCUUUUGGGGAGCUCUGGAAGCUGACUGCUUGGCAGAGGAUUGAGAGCAGCAGUCUGAGGUCCUCUUGCCUUUCCUUUCCUGGUAAGGCAUGGAACCAUCAUUUUUCCAGGUUGGGCAAGGGUCCUAAGGCCCUCAGUAUUCUCUAUGUGCUGAGUUGAAGGUAGAGCCUCUGUCCCAGUGGAAGAGGAGAGCCCCUACUUCUCAAAUGCAUUAGCCUAAUGCUUAGCUUCAGCAAUAGGUAGCUGAAAACAGGAUGAGAAACAAUGAUGUUUUGCUCUUUACAGGAAGAGGCCCUCCAUGUGGAAGUUGAGGAAGGGCGAUAAUGCAGAGAGGGGGCCUGUGUUCUUGAUAUGUAUCAGUCUAGAGUGAACCCUGUCUUGCUGAGCUGGGAAGUGGGUGGGAAGAAGUGCUCUUGGUUUACAUACUACAGACUCUUCUUUCUUACAGAAUUUUCAGACUUUCUUUGAUAUAUGUUUCUUCAUUUUCUGUUUCCUGUUAGGACUAUUUCCAUAGGCUUUAAAUGAUUUUUAAAAAUAUUUUUUAUCAGUUUCACAUGGGAGCAGGCCAGUGGAACUCCUCAUACUGUCAAGCCAGAAGUACUACAGUCCUACUUUCUUUCCUUCUUUCUUUCUUUCUUUCUUUCUUUCUUUCUUUCUUUCUUUCUUUCUUUCUUUCUUUCUUUUCUUUCUUUCUUUCUUUUUCUUUCUUUCUUUUUCUUUCUUUCUUCUUUUGUUCCUUCAUUCUUUCUUUCUCUUCCUUCCUUCCUCUCUUUCUCUCUUUCUUUCUUUCUCCCCUCCCCUAAAUUUUUUGUAUAUAUAUAUUUUUUUUGAGACAGAGUUUCACUCUUGUUACCCAGGCUGGAGUGCAAUGGCGCAAUCUCGGCUCACCACAACCUCUGCCUCCUGGGUUCAGGCAAUUCUCCUGCCUCAGCCUCCUGAGUAGCUGGAAUUACAGGCACCUGCCACCAUGCCCAGCUAAUUUUUUGUAUUUUUAGUAGAGACAGGGUUUCACCAUGUUGACCAGGCUGGUCACCAACUUCUGGCCUCAGGUGAUCUGCCUAUCUUGGCUUCCCAAAGUGCGGACCAUGCCUGGCCAGUACUAUUAGUUAUUAUAACUACAUGUGAAUCUAAAAUUAUUACAAAAGGAAAUUUAAGAAAAAGAAAGGAAUCAGAACAUAAAUAUACAGCAUGGCAAAACUACAUCUUAAACAAGUAGGAUAGGUCUCAUGGUGGAAAAAGUAGACCCACAAGAAAAGUUGUUAUCAUUGAUAUUCUGAACCACGGAUAUCUGCAAAGUGAUUGCUAGCUAUGUACAAUGAAGGAUAUUGGUGUUAUUCUGUGUAUCUACACUACAAAUGCUGUCAAAUCACAUAAUAAAAAGUUAAAAAGGAAAUUGAUGAGUCCAUAUUUAAUAAAUUUUAAAAAGGGAAAAGGUAAGCCUUUCUUACAGAAAAAUGCCAAUUGAAAUCAUUGAGAAAACAGUAGUAUUGGACAGUUACCACUUGAAGCCAUCAUAGUAAAAACUGAUACAGGCAAAAAUCAUCAGAGGAUGAUAUAUCUAAGGGAAAAGUUUCAUAAGGAACAUGAUGUUUGUGUGGCCUGAAAGUAUAUCCUUACAGAUUACUUACUAGUUGUAAGGGGAAAAAUAGUAAUUACAUAGUGGUCAUACUAGAUGACACCUUAACCAGUUGGCUAAAAUUAAUAUCCUCAGUGAGGGGCAGAUAGCCAUCAUGUGCCUCAACAUGUAAUAAUAAAAAAACAAUUUAAUGUCACUGAUAGUAUUUUUUCUGGUCUAACCUGUAUCUAAUCAUGAGGGAACAUCUGACAAAGCAAAAUUAAGGAACAUAUUAUAAAAAAAGUGGCCUUGGUUCUUCAAAAACAUCAAUAUCAUAAAGACAGUGGCUGAAAAAUUAUUCUAAAUUAAAGAAUAAAAAGAUAUAACAUCUGAAUGCAUUAUGUGAUCCUAGACUAGACAUUGAAUUUGGACAACUGACAAAAUGUGAUAAGGACUAUAGAUUUUUAAAAAGUAUUUUAUCAAAGUUAACUUCCAGAUUUUGGUAAUAGUACUGUUUAUGUCAAAGAAAAUCCUGGUUCUUAGGAAACAUAUACUGAAAUAUUAAGGGAUAAGGAGGCAUGAUACAUGAAACCUACUUGCCAAUGAUUCAGAAAAAGUAAUAUGUAAACAUAUGUCUCUGUAUAUGUACACAGACAGAAAUUAUGGUAAACAAAUAUUAUUCUUGCAACUUUUCUACAGUUGUGAAAUCAUACCGAGAUGUCUUGCUUCUUAUUAGUAUUUUUCACUCUCCUUUAGCUUGUAGGAAGUAACAAGUGUUAGUCAUACGUGUCUUAAAUUCCUCCUCAGUUGCUCUUCAGUAAAUCAGUUUUGACAAUGAUUUUAACAGGUAGAUUAUUGUAAAAGAGUUCAGACGAUAUAACCUUCUAAUAAGACUGUUACAAUUAUGCCUACGUACUGCACUACAGACCAAUUCCUUUAAUGAAUACAAUUUGGUUCUAAUAUUUUUGGUUGUCUAUGGUGUUUUCAAACCCCUUGUUAACUACCACAAGUUAAACUAUCAGUUUUGUUCAGUAGUCUGACAUGGAAUAAUACUAUUAAUAUGAUCCAAAUAUAGUGAACUGUGAUCCUCCAAAUCUUUCUAGAAAGAGAAUAGGAUAUGUAGCAAACUACUCAACAAUGUUUAGUGCUAACACCAAAAACAACUGUCAUCAGUUUACUCAUAAGGUAAAUACAUUUUGCUUGAAAGGGAAAAUGUCCAUAUUCUAAAUGAAUUAUGAUAGCUUGCUCUAAAUGAGUCAAGCAGUUUGUACUUAUGAACCAAUGACAGAAAGGUGCCACCCUCUCUUUUGUCCUAUGUUCCAACAGGCUUUUUUUUCUUAUGCUCUAGUCCUUUAUACUUUUUCAGAAUCAAAUGCUCUUUAUUUUGCUCCCAUAACUUCCAGGCAAUGCCUAUGACACCAGGUUACUAAGAGCCGUUUUCUUCCCUGAAGAAUAUUCUCUUUUAAAAUGCCUACAAAUCUAUUUCCUACUUUAUCAGAAAUUGUUAAUGAGAAUAUUCCAGUUCUACAUCUUAAAACCUGAGCAUUUAAUCCAAACCAAAUAUGGUUCUUAAUAAUAGAAUUACAUUGGAAGUAUCUGUGCUUUAUUAAACCAUAGUAAAAUUUGGUGCUGUAUAUACAUGAACUCUUCUGUCCAUGUUGAAUGCAACUUAAAUAAAUUAGAGGCUCAUGCUAGUCAGGAUGGAAACAUCAACCCUGAAACUUUCCCUUUUUUGAAAUUUAUGAGUAUCAGAUAAUGUCUCUUUUUUUUUUGAGACGGAGUUUACCCAGGCUGGAGUGCAAUGGCGCGAUCUCGGCUCACCGCAACCUCCGCCUCCUGGGUUCAGGCAAUUCUCCUGCCUCAGCCUCCUGAGUAGCUGGGAUUACAGGCACGUGCCACCAUGCCCAGCUAAUUUUUUGCAUUUUUAGUAGGAACGGGGUUUCACUAUGUUGACCAGGAUGGCCUCGAUCUUUUGACCUCAUGAUCCACCUGCCUCGGCCUCCCAAAGUGCUGGGAUUACAGGCGUGAGCCACCGCGCCCAGCCCCCAAGAUAAUGUUUCUAAUCAGGGGUUCCAAACAUUGAUGCAUUUAAUUUGCCUCUUGGUGUCAUACCCUUGGCCAAGAACACAGUCUCUAGAGUCUUAAAUGUUGUUAGCAGCCAAUGUUCUGACAGAUGGUUCUUUAUUACCAUUCAAUACAAACAGCAAGAAAGUCAAUGGAGAUUUAAUGAAAAAUUUUAGUUUUGAAAACAAAACUAGACUUACAUGAAACAUUAUGAUGAUGAGUUGAAGGAAGACUAUCAACAAAAUGUCACUGAUAUAGAUCUAGAAAUCUAUGAUGUCAUUUGGGAGAAAGUCUAAAAGUAUUAAAUUUAGGAGGGUUGUCAACCCAAUGAUGGGCCCUCUUCAAGAUCUUGACUUAUAGCAAAAUAAUGGAUUCACCACAGCUCAAGUAAAACAAAACAAAAAAAAUUCCUCAAUCACAGAAAGUUUAAAAGUCUCCAUUUUGAACCUUGAACCAGUCAGCAAACAACCAUGCUUCUUCCAGUUCUAACUGGUUCCCUCACUUCCCAAGAUUGGCUUAAAUUCACCCAACCCAAUCCCUUCUUAACUUUCUAAGAUUAGGAGAUUCCUAAAUUUUGCCUCUGGUGUUUUUUUUUUGUUUGUUUGUUUUUUCCUCUUUUGCUACAUCAAGCUAAAUAAACCUGGCUUUUGGGAACUACAGGGAUGUCUCUGAUUUUCUCUUAGUGGGUUUCAAAGGAUUUUCUUUUUUUGAAACAGGAUCUCACUUUGUUACCCAGGUUGGAGUGCAGUGGUGAGAUCAAGGUUCACUGAAGCCUUGACCUCUUGGGCUCAAUUGGUCCUCCCACUCCAGCCUCCUGAGCAAUUGGGACCACAAUCAUGUACCACCACGCCUGGUUAAUUUUAAAUUUUUUUGCAGAGGCAGGGUCUCACUAAGUUACCUAGGCUGGUCUUGAACCCUUAGGCUCAAGCAAUCCUCCAGUCUCCCAAAGUGCUAGGAUUAUAGGUGUGAACCACCACCCCAGCCAGGAUUUUCUUAUAAACACAUAGUCCAGACACCCAGAAAAGAAUAAAUUACUAUUCCUGUUUAAGUAGGUUUCCUCUUUCGGAGAUGCUUUUCUUGAUGGCUUGACAUGUGAUAUGGUUUGGAUUUGUGUCACCACCCAAAUCUCAGGUCGAAUUAUAAUCCCCAAUGUUGGGAGAGGGGCCAGUGGGAGGUGAUUGGAUCUGGGGGUGGACUUUCCCCUUGCUGUUCUCUGAUAGUGAGUUCCCAUAUCUGGUUAUUUAAAAGUGUGUAGCACCUGCCGGCUUUCCUUUCUUUCUCCUUCUCUGGCUAUGUGAAGAUGUUCCUCUUUCCUCUUCACCUUUUGCCAUGAUUUAAGUUUCCCAAGACCUCCCCAACCAUGCUUCCUGUACAGUCUGUGGAACUGUGAGCUAAUUAAACCUCUUUCCUUUAUAAGAACUACCAGUUUCAGGUGGUUCUUAUAGCAAUGCAAGAAUGAAUACAACAUGAUUCUAAUUAUCCUAUAUAUUUCUUGAAUUUUUGAAAAAUAUGCUUUGAGAAACAUUAGGUAAACAUUUUCAGUGGAGAUAAAACAAUAUAAUGUUAUCUUGAGAGAGUACAGACCAAAAUUUAAAUAUUACAUUCCCAAAUUAUUAGACAUUUAGAUAUUUUCCACUUUUUGCUGUUGUAAACAAACCUGUGAUGUAUCUUCAGAAUAAUCCCUGCAACUACAGUUACUGAGUUGUAUGGUAUGAGACGUUUUUGAGUCUAGCCACAUCUUUUUGUUUGUUUUCCAAGAAUUUUACUGGCUGGUCGCAGUGGCUCACGCCUGUAAUCCCAGCACUUUGGGAGACUGAAGCGGGUGGAUCACCAGGUCAAGAGAUGGAGACCAUCCUUGCCAACAUGGUGAAAUCCCAUCUCUACUAAAAAAUACAAAAAUUAGCUGGGUGUGGUGGUGCAUGCCUGUAGUCCCAGCUACUCGAGAGGCUGAGGCAGGAGGAUUGCUUGAAUCUGGGAGGCGGAGGUUGCAGUGAGAUGAGAUCACACCACUGUAUUCCAGCCUGACGUCUGGCCGCAGAGCAAGACUCUGUCUCAAAAAAAAAAAAAAAAAAGGAUUUUACCAAUUAACACCUACCUCAGCCAAUUAAAUAUUAGAGCAAACUCUCAACAGCUCACUAGGAAAAUCUUUUAAAUACAAGUUGUGCCUACAGAUUAACAUUUUAAAAAUAUUUAAUUUGCAUACAGCAUUUGAAGAACUACCCAUGCAGAUCUCUUAUUCUCAACUGGCCUCCUCACGUCUCAAGCUUACUAGGUAGAAAGUAAAGUCACAAAGCACUUGGUAGAAAUGCAGGAAAUAUCAAAUAUUAAACAAUAAUUACUACAGGCUUAGGCAAUGAGAUGGUAGUUUUGCAUACAAACAAAAACAGGAAUCUAAGAUGUUAAUUUUUUUUAAUUUUUUUUGAUACAGCGUCUCUGUCACCGAGGCUGCAGUGCAGUGACAUGAAUUAGGCUCUCUGCAGCCUGGAUUUCAACCUCCCGGCCUCAAGCAAUCAUCCUACCUAAACCUCCUAAGCAGCUAGGACUACAGGCUAGGACCACUGCGCCCAGCUAAUUUUUGUAUUUUUUGUAGAGACGGGGUUCCCCUGUGUUGCUCAGGCUGGUGUCCAACUCCUGGGCUUAAGUGAACAGGCCGCCGAGGCCUCCCAGGGUACGCGAACCUGCCUCACCUAAAAUAAUGUUCUCACUUAAUUCUUUUCAUAAACUUUAUUGACAAUGACUGGUGUGCGUGUGUCUGUGUGUGUUUUGGUAAGGUAUUAUCUGAGAAAAGAUUAAAUGCAUAGUUGAAUAGGAAAGAUCUAUUUUAUAGACUGUGAACACACAAAAGGUUAAAAGGUUAACCUUGCAGCCCUCUAUAAAAUAGAUCUCUCCUAUUCUCUCAGUGUAUCUGAGAAUACUGAAAAAGCACAUUUCAAUAUCACUGCUAGGGUUUAGUGAUAAGGUUAGGUAGAUUCUCAGUUCCCUUUCCUAUUUGGCCCUGGACUUCCCAUCAUCCCUGUUUUCU